This 550-nucleotide ribosomal RNA is filed under the name uncultured bacterium. RNAcentral describes it as "partial 16S ribosomal RNA". It matches the Rfam family "Bacterial small subunit ribosomal RNA", at positions 355 to 895 of the family's 1533-position model. The record is from RNAcentral.
UGGGGAAUUUUGGACAAUGGGCGCAAGCCUGAUCCAGCCAUGCCGCGUGCGGGAAGAAGGCCUUCGGGUUGUAAACCGCUUUUGUCAGGGAAGAAAUCUUCUGAGUUAAUACCUCGGGAGGAUGACGGUACCUGAAGAAUAAGCACCGGCUAACUACGUGCCAGCAGCCGCGGUAAUACGUAGGGUGCAAGCGUUAAUCGGAAUUACUGGGCGUAAAGCGUGCGCAGGCGGUUUUGUAAGACAGAGGUGAAAUCCCCGGGCUCAACCUGGGAACUGCCUUUGUGACUGCAAGGCUUGAGUGCGGCAGAGGGGGAUGGAAUUCCGCGUGUAGCAGUGAAAUGCGUAGAUAUGCGGAGGAACACCGAUGGCGAAGGCAAUCCCCUGGGCCUGCACUGACGCUCAUGCACGAAAGCGUGGGGAGCAAACAGGAUUAGAUAGCCCCUGGUAGUCCACGCCCUAAACGAUGUCAACUGGUUGUUGGGAAGGUUCCUUCUCAGUAACGUAGCUAACGCGUGAAGUUGACCGCCUGGGGAGUACGGCCGCAACGGUU